Molecule: long non-coding RNA, 2117 nt
Filed under: Homo sapiens (human)
Lineage: Eukaryota; Metazoa; Chordata; Mammalia; Primates; Hominidae
Description: HSALNT0276853
Source: RNAcentral
GCAACCUCUGCCUCCUGGGUUCAAGAGAUUCCCUUGCCUCAGCCUCCUGAGUAGCUGGGACUACAGGCACCUGCCACCACACCCAGCUAAUUUUGUAUUAGAGAUGGGGUUUCACCAUGUUGGCCAGGCUGGUCUCCAACUCCUGACCUCGUGAUCCACCUGCCUCAGCCUCCCAAAGUGCUGGGAUUACAGGCAUGAGCCACCGCGCCUGGCCUGUUUUAUUUUUUGUUUUGUUUGUUUGUUUUGUUUUGUUUUCAGAGAUAGGGUCUGGCUUUGUUUUCCAGGUUAGGGUGCAGUGGUGCGACCAUAGCUCACUGUAGCCUCAAACUCCUGGGCUCAAGCAAUCCUCUCGCCUCAGCCUACCAGGAACUGGAACUACAAAUGCAUGCCACCAUCCCCAGCUAAUAUUUUUCCUUUUUGGAAAAAUGAAGUCUCACUAUGUUGCCCAGGCUGGUCUCAAACUCCUGGGCUCAAGUGAUCCUCCUGCAGUGCUGGGAUUACAGGCAUGAGCCACUCUGCCCGGCCAAUCUCAGAGAGUUUUGAUGAAGUUACAAAAUUCUGACCAUGGAGCCAGAACUCAAAUCUAGGGACUUCGGCAGAGACAGAGCCCCAGCAGCCUCCACCCGUCCCCUCGUGUCGGCCUUGCUCACCCACGGAUGAGUCAGUUGGAAUGUUUGGACAUCCCAGCUCAGCGGCUGUGGUACCAGGAGCUGUCAGGAGGCGGGAAUGCAGAGAAUGUGGCUCACUGUGCUCCCGCCCGCCCAGGCUGAAUCCGCAGAGAGGUUUGGAAGAGGAGACCUACGGCUGAUUCACAGGAGCCUGCCCCCGGCAUCACCCCAGCUGACCCACUGAUGCACCCCGUCUGAAAUCCACGGAGUUGCAGGCAUGCCUGGAAGACCCCGAGCAUUUAUUCAUCUCUUCCUCCUUCAGUCAUUCGCACAGUCAUUCUUUUUAUGGUUGUGUUUUUCCAAUCUUUAUGAUUUUUUUUUCCAAUGGCAAAAGUAAUCUAUUGAAUAUUAGAUUCAAAAGGAAUGAAAUUCUGAUAUAUGCUCCCAUGUGAGUGAACUUGAGGAUAUUAUGUUAAGUGAAAUAAGCCAGACACAAAAGGACAAAUACUGUGUGAUUGCACUUAUACGAGUCAAAUUUGUAGAGACAGAAAGUAGAAUAAAUGUUGCCAGGGGCUGGGGAAGGGGAAAGGGAGAGUUAGUGUUUAAUGGGGACAGAGUUUCACUGGGGAAGGUGGUGGUAGCGGUUGCAACAUUGGGAACGUACUUAAUGCCACCGAACCAUACACUUAAAAAUGGUUCAAAUGGAACAUUUAAUGUCACGCGUAUUUUACCGUAAUAAAGAAAAACAAAAAGUGAUCUAUUGUUCAAACAAUAUAUAAAAGAUAAAACAUAAAAGUAGAUGACUGGGCUCAUAAUUACCCUCAUUUCUCACCCUGUUACCAGUUUGGAAUAUCUGCUUUCGAACCUUUUAACGUCCCCACGCAAUCGUGUAUGUGUGGGCAAAUAUAGGCCCUGAGGGAGGAAGGGAAUGUGAUCUCCAGGUGCCAGACACAUGCUCCUCAUCCCUGUCUCUUUGAAGGACAAUGUCAUGCCUGCAUCCCCAGGUGCCCAGUGGCAAGGUCGCGCAUGAACAAUCACCGCCAUCCAGCGAUGUCUUAGAGGUGUCUGGCUCGGUGCUAAGCCCUUUCACAUGCAUGAGCUCAAUCCUUACACCAGCGUCGUGAGGAAGGUAUAUCUUGAUGCUCACUUCAAAGUCCAUUUCAAGGCCAGGUGCAGUGGCUCACCCCUGUAAUCCCAGCACUUUGAGAGGCUGAGGCAGGAUUGCUUGAGCCCAGGAGUUCAAGACCAGGCUGGGCAACAUAGUGAGACCCUGUCUGUAAAAAAUUAAAAAUUAGCGGGGCAUGGUGGUGGUGGUGUGCUCCUGUAGUGCCAGCUACUCAGGAGGCUGAGGUGGGAGGAUCACCUGAGCCCAGGAGUUCGAGGCUACCGUGAGCCAUGAUCACAGCACUGCACUCCAGCCCAGGCAACAGAGUGAGACCCUGUCUCAAAAACAAAAAACAGUCCAGGCUGGGCUCAGUGGCUCACGCCUUAUAAUCCCAGCACUUUGAG